RNAcentral lists this long non-coding RNA (299 nucleotides) under Helianthus annuus (common sunflower). RNAcentral describes it as "sRNA HanXRQr2_Chr12g0527601". Lineage: Eukaryota; Viridiplantae; Streptophyta; Magnoliopsida; Asterales; Asteraceae. The record is from RNAcentral.
GGUUUCGAAAGUCUUGAAAGGAGGUCGGUUUAAGUGAUUGCUUUAUCAGUUUACUCAUGAAACUAGGGCCCAUCGAAUAUAGAUUUCCAAUUGCGAAGAUUUCAUGAAGCAAUGGGGUUGAGCCAAUGAUUUGUCAAAAGAUGAAGAUUGCUUACAUGUGUACAACGAUAAUUACAGAAGCGGAAGAGAUCUUCCCUGUUUGGCUCCUCUAUUCUCGGAGUUAAGAGACUCUAACACGCUGAGAAAGAUGACAGUCAAAGUGAAAGGUGUGUUAUUCAUUUGAAAAGGUAGAUGCUUAU